RNAcentral lists this ribosomal RNA (443 nucleotides) under uncultured Hyphomicrobiales bacterium. Its description in RNAcentral is "bacterial SSU rRNA". It matches the Rfam family "Bacterial small subunit ribosomal RNA", at positions 335 to 795 of the family's 1533-position model. Lineage: Bacteria; Pseudomonadati; Pseudomonadota; Alphaproteobacteria; Hyphomicrobiales. The record is from RNAcentral.
GUACCUACGGGUGGCUGCAGUGGGGAAUAUUGGACAAUGGGCGCAAGCCUGAUCCAGCCAUGCCGCGUGAGUGAUGAAGGUCUUAGGAUUGUAAAGCUCUUUCAACGGUGAAGAUAAUGACGGUAACCGUAGAAGAAGCCCCGGCUAACUUCGUGCCAGCAGCCGCGGUAAUACGAAGGGGGCUAGCGUUGUUCGGAAUUACUGGGCGUAAAGCGCGCGUAGGCGGGUAUUUAAGUCAGGGGUGAAAUCCCAGAGCUCAACUCUGGAACUGCCUUUGAUACUGGGUACCUAGAGUCCGGAAGAGGUGAGUGGAAUUGCGAGUGUAGAGGUGAAAUUCGUAGAUAUUCGCAGGAACACCAGUGGCGAAGGCGGCUCACUGGUCCGGUACUGACGCUGAGGUGCGAAAGCGUGGGGAGCAAACAGGAUUAGAUACCCGGGUAGUC